ACGCUAGCUACAGGCUUAACACAUGCAAGUCGAGGGGAAACGGCAUUAAGUGCUCGCACUUUUUGGACGUCGACCGGCGCACGGGUGAGUAACGCGUAUCCAACCUUCCCAUGACUAAGGGAUAACCUGCCGAAAGGCAGACUAAUACCUUAUGGUCUUCACUGACGGCAUCAGAUGUGAAGUAAAGAUUUAUCGGUUAUGGAUGGGGAUGCGUCUGAUUAGCUUGUUGGCGGGGUAACGGCCCACCAAGGCAACGAUCAGUAGGGGUUCUGAGAGGAAGGUCCCCCACAUUGGAACUGAGACACGGUCCAAACUCCUACGGGAGGCAGCAGUGAGGAAUAUUGGUCAAUGGGCGAGAGCCUGAACCAGCCAAGUAGCGUGCAGGAUGACGGCCCUAUGGGUUGUAAACUGCUUUUGUAUGGGGAUAAAGUCAAUCACGUGUGAUUGUUUGCAGGUACCAUACGAAUAAGGACCGGCUAAUUCCGUGCCAGCAGCCGCGGUAAUACGGAAGGUCCGGGCGUUAUCCGGAUUUAUUGGGUUUAAAGGGAGCGUAGGCUGGAGAUUAAGUGUGUUGUGAAAUGUAGACGCUCAACGUCUGACUUGCAGCGCAUACUGGUUUCCUUGAGUACGCACAACGUUGGCGGAAUUCGUCGUGUAGCGGUGAAAUGCUUAGAUAUGACGAAGAACUCCGAUUGCGAAGGCAGCUGACGGGAGCGCAACUGACGCUGAAGCUCGAAGGUGCGGGUAUCGAACAGGAUUAGAUACCCUGGUAGUCCGCACAGUAAACGAUGGAUGCCCGCUGUUGGUACCUGGUAUCAGCGGCUAAGCGAAAGCAUUAAGCAUCCCACCUGGGGAGUACGCCGGCAACGGUGAAACUCAAAGGAAUUGACGGGGGCCCGCACAAGCGGAGG
This 911-nucleotide ribosomal RNA is filed under the name uncultured bacterium. RNAcentral describes it as "bacterial SSU rRNA". It matches the Rfam family "Bacterial small subunit ribosomal RNA", at positions 33 to 935 of the family's 1533-position model. The record is from RNAcentral.